This 737-nucleotide ribosomal RNA is filed under the name Bacillus subtilis. RNAcentral's name for it is "bacterial SSU rRNA". It matches the Rfam family "Bacterial small subunit ribosomal RNA", at positions 556 to 1293 of the family's 1533-position model. Lineage: Bacteria; Bacillati; Bacillota; Bacilli; Caryophanales; Bacillaceae. The record is from RNAcentral.
GGGCGUAGAGGGCUCGCAGGCGGUUUCUUAAGUCUGAUGUGAAAGCCCCCGGCUCAACCGGGGAGGGUCAUUGGAAACUGGGGAACUUGAGUGCAGAAGAGGAGAGUGGAAUUCCACGUGUAGCGGUGAAAUGCGUAGAGAUGUGGAGGAACACCAGUGGCGAAGGCGACUCUCUGGUCUGUAACUGACGCUGAGGAGCGAAAGCGUGGGGAGCGAACAGGAUUAGAUACCCUGGUAGUCCACGCCGUAAACGAUGAGUGCUAAGUGUUAGGGGGUUUCCGCCCCUUAGUGCUGCAGCUAACGCAUUAAGCACUCCGCCUGGGGAGUACGGUCGCAAGACUGAAACUCAAAGGAAUUGACGGGGGCCCGCACAAGCGGUGGAGCAUGUGGUUUAAUUCGAAGCAACGCGAAGAACCUUACCAGGUCUUGACAUCCUCUGACAAUCCUAGAGAUAGGACGUCCCCUUCGGGGGCAGAGUGACAGGUGGUGCAUGGUUGUCGUCAGCUCGUGUCGUGAGAUGUUGGGUUAAGUCCCGCAACGAGCGCAACCCUUGAUCUUAGUUGCCAGCAUUCAGUUGGGCACUCUAAGGUGACUGCCGGUGACAAACCGGAGGAAGGUGGGGAUGACGUCAAAUCAUCAUGCCCCUUAUGACCUGGGCUACACACGUGCUACAAUGGACAGAACAAAGGGCAGCGAAACCGCGAGGUUAAGCCAAUCCCACAAAUCUGUUCUCAGUU